Molecule: ribosomal RNA, 345 nt
Filed under: uncultured bacterium
Lineage: Bacteria
Description: bacterial SSU rRNA
Rfam family: Bacterial small subunit ribosomal RNA
Source: RNAcentral
AUAGAAGCACCUACUUCUAUUGUAAAGUUAGGGAGUACUAACACUACAGGAUGGGCCGGCCGGCGCAUUAGCUAGUUGGUAAGGUAAUGGCGUUACCAACGGCGACGAUGCGUAGCCGACCUGAGAGGGUGGAUCGGCCACACUGGGACUGAGACACGGCCCAGACUCCUACGGGAGGCAGCAGUAGGGAAUCUUCCGCAAUGGACGAAAGUCUGACGGAGCAACGCCGCGUGAACGAUGAAGGCCUUCGGGUCGUAAAGUUCUGUUGUUAGGGAAGAACAAGUACCGUUCGAAUAGGGCGGUACCUUGACGGUACCUAACCAGAAAGCCACGGCUAACUACGUG